RNAcentral lists this ribosomal RNA (375 nucleotides) under uncultured organism. RNAcentral's name for it is "partial 16S ribosomal RNA". It matches the Rfam family "Bacterial small subunit ribosomal RNA", at positions 527 to 896 of the family's 1533-position model. The record is from RNAcentral.
GUAGGUGGCAAGCGUUGUCCGGAAUUAUUGGGCGUAAAGCGCGCGCAGGUGGGUCUUUAAGUCUGAUGUGAAAGACCCCCGGGCUCAACCGGGGAGGGUCAUUGGAAACUGGGGGAACUUGAGUGCAGGAGAGGAAAGUGGAAUUCCACGUGUAGCGGUGAAAUGCGUAGAUAUGUGGAGGAACACCAGUGGCGAAGGCGACUUUCUGGCCUGUAACUGACACUGAGGCGCGAAAGCGUGGGGAGCAAACAGGAUUAGAUACCCUGGUAGUCCACGCCGUAAACGAUGAGUGCUAAGUGUUGGGGGGUUUCCGCCCCUCAGUGCUGCAGCUAACGCAUUAAGCACUCCGCCUGGGGAGUACGGUCGCAAAGACUG